AUUGAACGCUGGCGGCAGGCCUAACACAUGCAAGUCGAACGGUAACAGAAAGCAGCUUGCUGCUUUGCUGACGAGUGGCGGACGGGUGAGUAAUGUCUGGGAAACUGCCUGAUGGAGGGGGAUAACUACUGGAAACGGUAGCUAAUACCGCAUAACGUCGCAAGACCAAAGAGGGGGACCUCCGGGCCUCUUGCCAUCGGAUGUGCCCAGAUGGGAUUAGCUAGUAGGUGGGGUAACGGCUCACCUAGGCGACGAUCCCUAGCUGGUCUGAGAGGAUGACCAGCCACACUGGAACUGAGACACGGUCCAGACUCCUACGGGAGGCAGCAGUGGGGAAUAUUGCACAAUGGGCGCAAGCCUGAUGCAGCCAUGCCGCGUGUAUGAAGAAGGCCUUCGGGUUGUAAAGUACUUUCAGCGGGGAGGAAGGGAGUAAAGUUAAUACCUUUGCUCAUUGACGUUACCCGCAGAAGAAGCACCGGCUAACUCCGUG
This 490-nucleotide ribosomal RNA is filed under the name uncultured bacterium. Its description in RNAcentral is "partial 16S ribosomal RNA". It matches the Rfam family "Bacterial small subunit ribosomal RNA", at positions 30 to 507 of the family's 1533-position model. The record is from RNAcentral.